UGAUAUAUCAAAAAAAAUGAAAGAGUUAAUAAUGGUGGUGUCCGCAAGUCCACGAGUCAAAUUGUAAUAUAGUUUGUAUAAUGAAACACUUGGAAGUGUUCCGAGUAUCGUACCCAAGGAAGAUGGAAUAAAUAAUGAAAAUGUUUUUACAAUAACAAGUUUAAGUAGUAGUAAUUAGUUCCUAUAUUACGAUUAACAAUAAAAUAGUUUGAAGAGAUAAAAAUAAAUAACGAAAAAAAUAAUAAAGAAAAAUAAACAAAUGUAAUAAAAUAAAUCAAUCAAGAAAAUUAACUCGCUCUAAGGUUUGCAACUAACUUCGAGUUAGGGUUUUAGAGUGGAUUAAGCAUCGAUUAAUCAAUUAUUAUCUCCCGGCC
Molecule: long non-coding RNA, 374 nt
Filed under: Gossypium raimondii (Peruvian cotton)
Lineage: Eukaryota; Viridiplantae; Streptophyta; Magnoliopsida; Malvales; Malvaceae
Description: long non-coding RNA (GRAI_LNC001582)
Source: RNAcentral